RNAcentral lists this ribosomal RNA (2561 nucleotides) under Enterobacter cloacae. Its description in RNAcentral is "bacterial LSU rRNA". It matches the Rfam family "Bacterial large subunit ribosomal RNA", at positions 396 to 2925 of the family's 2925-position model. Lineage: Bacteria; Pseudomonadati; Pseudomonadota; Gammaproteobacteria; Enterobacterales; Enterobacteriaceae. The record is from RNAcentral.
GCUGUGAACUCGAAGAGUAGGGCGGGACACGUGGUAUCCUGUCUGAAUAUGGGGGGACCAUCCUCCAAGGCUAAAUACUCCUGACUGACCGAUAGUGAACCAGUACCGUGAGGGAAAGGCGAAAAGAACCCCGGCGAGGGGAGUGAAAAAGAACCUGAAACCGUGUACGUACAAGCAGUGGGAGCACCUUCGGGUGUGACUGCGUACCUUUUGUAUAAUGGGUCAGCGACUUAUAUUCUGUAGCAAGGUUAACCGUAUAGGGGAGCCGAAGGGAAACCGAGUCUUAACUGGGCGUUAAGUUGCAGGGUAUAGACCCGAAACCCGGUGAUCUAGCCAUGGGCAGGUUGAAGGUUGGGUAACACUAACUGGAGGACCGAACCGACUAAUGUUGAAAAAUUAGCGGAUGACCUGUGGCUGGGGGUGAAAGGCCAAUCAAACCGGGAGAUAGCUGGUUCUCCCCGAAAGCUAUUUAGGUAGCGCCUCGUGAACUCAUCUUCGGGGGUAGAGCACUGUUUCGGCUAGGGGGCCAUCCCGGCUUACCAACCCGAUGCAAACUACGAAUACCGAAGAAUGUUAUCACGGGAGACACACGGCGGGUGCUAACGUCCGUCGUGAAGAGGGAAACAACCCAGACCGCCAGCUAAGGUCCCAAAGUCAUGGUUAAGUGGGAAACGAUGUGGGAAGGCCCAGACAGCCAGGAUGUUGGCUUAGAAGCAGCCAUCAUUUAAAGAAAGCGUAAUAGCUCACUGGUCGAGUCGGCCUGCGCGGAAGAUGUAACGGGGCUAAACCAUGCACCGAAGCUGCGGCAGCGACACUAUGUGUUGUUGGGUAGGGGAGCGUUCUGUAAGCCGUUGAAGGUGGCCUGUGAGGGCUGCUGGAGGUAUCAGAAGUGCGAAUGCUGACAUAAGUAACGAUAAAGCGGGUGAAAAGCCCGCUCGCCGGAAGACCAAGGGUUCCUGUCCAACGUUAAUCGGGGCAGGGUGAGUCGACCCCUAAGGCGAGGCCGAAAGGCGUAGUCGAUGGGAAACAGGUUAAUAUUCCUGUACUUGGUGUUACUGCGAAGGGGGGACGGAGAAGGCUAUGUUAGCCGGGCGACGGUUGUCCCGGUUUAAGCAUGUAGGCGGAGGUUCCAGGUAAAUCCGGUACCUUUUAACGCUGAGGUGUGAUGACGAGGCACUACGGUGCUGAAGUAACAAAUGCCCUGCUUCCAGGAAAAGCCUCUAAGCAUCAGGUAACAUCAAAUCGUACCCCAAACCGACACAGGUGGUCAGGUAGAGAAUACCAAGGCGCUUGAGAGAACUCGGGUGAAGGAACUAGGCAAAAUGGUGCCGUAACUUCGGGAGAAGGCACGCUGAUAUGUAGGUGAAGCCCCUGCGGGUGGAGCUGAAAUCAGUCGAAGAUACCAGCUGGCUGCAACUGUUUAUUAAAAACACAGCACUGUGCAAACACGAAAGUGGACGUAUACGGUGUGACGCCUGCCCGGUGCCGGAAGGUUAAUUGAUGGGGUUAGCGGUAACGCGAAGCUCUUGAUCGAAGCCCCGGUAAACGGCGGCCGUAACUAUAACGGUCCUAAGGUAGCGAAAUUCCUUGUCGGGUAAGUUCCGACCUGCACGAAUGGCGUAAUGAUGGCCAGGCUGUCUCCACCCGAGACUCAGUGAAAUUGAACUCGCUGUGAAGAUGCAGUGUACCCGCGGCAAGACGGAAAGACCCCGUGAACCUUUACUAUAGCUUGACACUGAACACUGGUCCUUGAUGUGUAGGAUAGGUGGGAGGCUUUGAAGCGUGGACGCCAGUCUGCGUGGAGCCAUCCUUGAAAUACCACCCUUUAAUGGCUGGUGUUCUAACGUAGACCCGUAAUCCGGGUUGCGGACAGUGUCUGGUGGGUAGUUUGACUGGGGCGGUCUCCUCCCAAAGAGUAACGGAGGAGCACGAAGGUUAGCUAAUCCUGGUCGGACAUCAGGAGGUUAGUGCAAUGGCAUAAGCUAGCUUGACUGCGAGAGUGACGGCUCGAGCAGGUGCGAAAGCAGGUCAUAGUGAUCCGGUGGUUCUGAAUGGAAGGGCCAUCGCUCAACGGAUAAAAGGUACUCCGGGGAUAACAGGCUGAUACCGCCCAAGAGUUCAUAUCGACGGCGGUGUUUGGCACCUCGAUGUCGGCUCAUCACAUCCUGGGGCUGAAGUAGGUCCCAAGGGUAUGGCUGUUCGCCAUUUAAAGUGGUACGCGAGCUGGGUUUAGAACGUCGUGAGACAGUUCGGUCCCUAUCUGCCGUGGGCGCUGGAGAAUUGAGGGGGGCUGCUCCUAGUACGAGAGGACCGGAGUGGACGCAUCACUGGUGUUCGGGUUGUCAUGCCAAUGGCACUGCCCGGUAGCUAAAUGCGGAAGAGAUAAGUGCUGAAAGCAUCUAAGCACGAAACUUGCCCCGAGAUGAGUUCUCCCUGACUCCUUGAGAGUCCUGAAGGAACGUUGAAGACGACGACGUUGAUAGGUCGGGUGUGUAAGCGCAGCGAUGCGUUGAGCUAACCGAUACUAAUGAACCGUGAGGCUUAACCUUACAACGCCGAAG